GCGCGAAAACUCUGCAAUAAGCGAAAGCUUGACAGGGUUAUUCUGAGUGAUUUCCGCUAAGGAAAUCUUUUGGCACCUCUAAAAAUGGUGCAGAAUAAGGGGUGGGCAAGCCUGGUGUCAGCCGCCGCGGUAAUACCAGCACCCCGAGUGGUCGGGACGAUUAUUGGGCCUAAAGCAUCCGUAGCCGGUUCUACAAGUCUUCCGUUAAAUCCACCUGCUCAACAGUUGGGCUGCGGAGGAUACUAUAGAGCUAGGAGGCGGGAGAGGCAAGCGGUACUCAGUGGGUAGGGGUAAAAUCCGUUGAUCCAUUGAAGACCACCAGUGGCGAAGGCGGCUUGCCAGAACGCACUCGACGGUGAGGGAUGAAAGCUGGGGGAGCAAACCGGAUUAGAUACCCGGGUAGUCCCAGCUGUAAACGAUGCAGACUCGGUGAUGAAUAGGCUUCGUGCCUAUUCAGUGCCGCAGGGAA
Molecule: ribosomal RNA, 469 nt
Filed under: uncultured archaeon
Lineage: Archaea
Description: bacterial SSU rRNA
Rfam family: Archaeal small subunit ribosomal RNA
Source: RNAcentral